RNAcentral lists this non-coding RNA (23 nucleotides) under Arabidopsis thaliana (thale cress). Lineage: Eukaryota; Viridiplantae; Streptophyta; Magnoliopsida; Brassicales; Brassicaceae. The record is from RNAcentral.
GAAGAUACCUUAUUGAAGUGCUG